UAGUGCGUAUCGGGUGGUUGAAAGAUUUUCUAAUGGAUCAAUUCAAUUGGAAGAUUUUAUAGGCCAUCAAUUCACUACACGUAUUAACGAGAACCAUUUAAGGUUGUAUUAUACUUAAAAUCCGAGACAGAUUUCAAUUAUUGGUAUAGAUAAACUAUGGUAUAGAGGCGACUGAAAAGAUAGUUGAAAUAUAAUUAAUAAUA
This 203-nucleotide long non-coding RNA is filed under the name Physcomitrium patens. RNAcentral's name for it is "long non-coding RNA (PPAT_LNC010008)". Lineage: Eukaryota; Viridiplantae; Streptophyta; Bryopsida; Funariales; Funariaceae. The record is from RNAcentral.